ACCGGAGGGUAAUGGGUCAGUCCUUCGCCAAUCUGGUCAGGUCCGGAAGGAAGCAGCCAUAACGAAUGCGGCUGAGGUCACUGCUCUCCACCAUUUUU
Molecule: signal recognition particle RNA, 98 nt
Filed under: Pseudomonadota bacterium
Lineage: Bacteria; Pseudomonadati; Pseudomonadota
Description: Proteobacteria bacterium (human gut metagenome) signal recognition particle sRNA small type
Rfam family: Bacterial small signal recognition particle RNA
About the family: The signal recognition particle (SRP) is a universally conserved ribonucleoprotein involved in the co-translational targeting of proteins to membranes.
Source: RNAcentral